RNAcentral lists this ribosomal RNA (500 nucleotides) under uncultured cyanobacterium. RNAcentral describes it as "bacterial SSU rRNA". It matches the Rfam family "Bacterial small subunit ribosomal RNA", at positions 356 to 869 of the family's 1533-position model. Lineage: Bacteria; Bacillati; Cyanobacteriota. The record is from RNAcentral.
GGGGAAUUUUCCGCAAUGGGCGAAAGCCUGACGGAGCAAUACCGCGUGAGGGAGGAAGGCUCUUGGGUCGUAAACCUCUUUUCUCAGGGAAGAACAAAAUGACGGUACCUGAGGAGUAAGCAUCGGCUAACUCUGUGCCAGCAGCCGCGGUAAUACAGAGGAUGCAAGCGUUAUCCGGAAUGAUUGGGCGUAAAGCGUCCGUAGGUGGUUAUGUAAGUCUGUGGUUAAAGCGUGGAGCUCAACUCCAUAAGGGCCAUGGAAACUACAAGACUAGAGUCAAGUAGGGGUAGAGGGAAUUCCCAGUGUAGCGGUGAAAUGCGUAGAGAUUGGGAAGAACACCGGUGGCGAAAGCGCUCUACUGGACUUGUACUGACACUGAGGGACGAAAGCUAGGGGAGCGAAAGGGAUUAGAUACCCCUGUAGUCCUAGCCGUAAACGAUGGAUACUAGGUGUUGCCCGUAUCGACCCGGGCAGUGCCGUAGCUAACGCGUUAAGUAUCC